RNAcentral lists this ribosomal RNA (465 nucleotides) under Vreelandella stevensii. RNAcentral describes it as "partial 16S ribosomal RNA". It matches the Rfam family "Bacterial small subunit ribosomal RNA", at positions 338 to 795 of the family's 1533-position model. Lineage: Bacteria; Pseudomonadati; Pseudomonadota; Gammaproteobacteria; Oceanospirillales; Halomonadaceae. The record is from RNAcentral.
CCUACGGGAGGCAGCAGUGGGGAAUAUUGGACAAUGGGGGGAACCCUGAUCCAGCCAUGCCGCGUGUGUGAAGAAGGCCCUCGGGUUGUAAAGCACUUUCAGUGAGGAAGAACGCCUGGUGGUUAAUACCCAUCAGGAAAGACAUCACUCACAGAAGAAGCACCGGCUAACUCCGUGCCAGCAGCCGCGGUAAUACGGAGGGUGCGAGCGUUAAUCGGAAUUACUGGGCGUAAAGCGCGUGUAGGUGGCUUGAUAAGCCGGUUGUGAAAGCCCCGGGCUCAACCUGGGAACGGCAUCCGGAACUGGCAAGCUAGAGUGCAGGAGAGGAAGGUAGAAUUCCCGGUGUAGCGGUGAAAUGCGUAGAGAUCGGGAGGAAUACCAGUGGCGAAGGCGGCCUUCUGGACUGACACUGACACUGAGGUGCGAAAGCGUGGGUAGCAAACAGGAUUAGAUACCCUAGUAGUC